RNAcentral lists this ribosomal RNA (331 nucleotides) under uncultured bacterium. RNAcentral's name for it is "bacterial SSU rRNA". It matches the Rfam family "Bacterial small subunit ribosomal RNA", at positions 568 to 898 of the family's 1533-position model. The record is from RNAcentral.
CGCGUAGGUGGUUGUGUAAGUCAGAUGUGAAAUCCUUCGGCUCAACUGAAGAACUGCAUCUGAUACUGCACGACUCGAGUACAGGAGAGGGAAACGGAAUUCCAGGUGUAGAGGUGAAAUUCGUAGAUAUCUGGAGGAACACCGGUGGCGAAGGCGGUUUCCUGGCCUGAUACUGACACUGAGGCGCGAAAGCGUGGGGAGCAAACAGGAUUAGAUACCCUGGUAGUCCACGCCGUAAACGGUGAGUACUGGGUGUGGGAGGUGUAAUGCCUUCUGUGCCGAAGCUAACGCGUUAAGUACUCCGCCUGGGGAGUACGGCCGCAAGGUUGAA